This is a long non-coding RNA of Mytilus californianus (California mussel), 3618 nucleotides long. RefSeq lists it as uncharacterized. The transcript has 2 exons. The record is from RefSeq and is a predicted model, not a curated record. NCBI's taxonomy places the organism in Eukaryota, Metazoa, Mollusca, Bivalvia, Mytilida, Mytilidae.
CCUAAACUCCUACGUUUAAUCAGUCAAGUACUAUAGUGUGGCAACACGUGAACAUCAAGCAACCCAGUGAUACAAGGUAUCAUGAACGGAAACACCAGAAACCAAAACAAUUCUGAUCAUGAAAAUUUAUUUGGCAUAAAAAAAACUACGUACUGAAGAACUGUGUAAAACGUUUUCCGUACCAUGGAAAGCGUAAGUUUACACCAUUACUUCACCAAUCUUUAGAUGGAGGAAUGGUGAUCUCAAAUGACGUUUUCGGAUUAACAAUCAGUCAGUUUGAACGAAUGCAUAAAUAGAUAUAGUAAGAUGUGGUAUGAGUGCCAAUGAGACAACUCUCCAUCCAAGUUACAAUUUAUAAAAGUAAACCAUUAUAGCUCAAGGUACGGCCUUCAACACGGAGCAUUGGCUCACACCGAACAGCAAGCUAUAAAGGGCCCCAAAAAAUUACUAGUGUAAAACCAUUCAAACGGAAACUUGUUUAGAAAGAAGGAAAACAAAAGAACAGUGGAUACUGAACCUUAGAUAUCCUGACAAAUCAUCUAAAGAAUAUCUGGAGUACUUAGAAAACUGUACAGACAGUAAUGAAGAUGUAAUAUUAUUUGCUAAAACUCAAGAAAGUUAAAGGUGUUAAGUUGGUUUUGUUGUAAUGCAAGUCCAGAGACAGUCUUACACGGUAAAAGAUACUAUGCUUUAUCUAGAAAACCAUAGGCCCAAAACAAACAGACAACACUAUGACUAAAACCGGAAAAGACACAGAUACUCAUGACAAUGCAAAUUGGUACUAAGAUGCAUUUGGUUAUUUACAAUCCAAGUGGACGGGAUAAACUAAAUUGACAAUAUAAAUACUGUCUGUAAAGUGAAAUCUGUAUGAAGAGUUGAAAUAUCUUCCUUGAACGGAAAGAACUCAAGGUAAAUAUCAAUAAACUAGCUGAAGGUUGAGGUACAUUUCAUGAAAAGGUAUAAUAUUUGUUAAUAGUUCAAUACUAAAUUGUGACAUAACUAUUAAUGUAUAUUAGAUUUAAAAAAUGUAUAGGUCGAUUUGCACCAAUUAAGUGAAAUGCUAAUUCACUCAAUUAUUAGGGUUGCAGUAAAAACUGUAUAAUUCAUGACAUAACUAUUUAUAAAAUAGAUGCGUUUAAACCGUUAGUAUUCUAAAUGUACCUUAUUCAGAAGCUCUUAAACCAAAUAUCUUUAAGCAGCAAUACAGAUGAUGUUUAAGAGACCAAUGUGUUUUAAAUAAUUCAACAGUUGAUAAAUAAGAUAUUUGAAAAAUAGGAACGCAUCAAGGAUACUUCAUAUCAACAUUUAACAUUUGGUGACAGUACAUUUAAUAGUUUUGAAUACAAGGCCGAUGAUACCCUGACCACGAGAAGGAAAUAGACAACAUACUUAAUACUGUUACCUUUGUUGUUAAUUGUCAAACCUGGCUUUACAUAUACAAUGCUAUACGUCCAUGGCGUCUACAUAACACUCAACAUUGAUACUAUGAUCAGAACAAUUGCUUGGAAAACAAUUUAGGGGAGUUAAUAUUUUAUGUACGAACGUCAUUUUGUUGUUUUAUGAUACAUUAGUAAAUACGCAUACUUUUUAUAGAUCACUUGCUUUGGAUUGAUUGGAUGGAGAAAUGCUUGUACGAACAUCUAGUACAAACAAAAUACGGAAAAGACAACGACUAUUUAUUAUACAAGAUAUGAUCGUCAAAUCUUCAGGUCUGACUGAUUGUAAACAAAUUUCAAGUGGAAGUUCGGCAGAAGGACUUGAUUUACCAGGUAGUGACAUGGAUGUUAUGUACAUAACCAAUGACUAUACAGUAAUACAUAAUGUUAAGAACAUCAAAAACCAAAUACAUCGUGAUCUGUUUGUUAAAGUAUCAGCACAUAAUAUAGAAUCUCUCCAUGAACGAUGUGGCCGUUGUCCACCAGGUACAUGUAAUGGUACACAAUUUCAUCUAGCAAUACAGAAAUUUCUUGAUAGCUGUAAACGAAGUUAUCCAAACGUGCAGACAUGUAUACACGGUCCAUGUGUUUCAAACAAAGAUCAGACAAUUGAUAUCGCAUACUGCCUACUGAGUGAAUAUCUACCUCACAACGCCCUUCCAUGGGCAUCACGUCAUCGAUGGCAGAAAAAGUACCUGUACAUUCAUUUAGUUUCGCUCAAGUCUUAUGUUACGGUCUACUCAAAUUGACACUUAAGCGUAUCAUUAGUACAAACAAUGCAGUAAAAGAUUUAUUGUGUUCUUACUUUCUAAAUAGAUAUAAGAAGAUGUGGUAUGAGUGCCAAUGAGACAACUCUCCAUCCAAGUCAAAAUUUAUAAAAGUAAACCAUUAUAUAAAGACGGCUUUAUUCUGGGAUUCGGACAAAGUUGAUAUUGACACAUUUCAAUUAUCUAAAAUAUAUCAUUGUUUUUCUCUCUGUCUUGAAAAAAUAAUAUCAUGGGUAAAGACAUGUUAUUGUCCGAACUAUUUCAUUCCUGAACAUAACAUGUUCCUAGGAAAGAUCGAUCAGAAUAACAAUACGAUACUACUGUGUGUUCUUGGGAGUAUAGAGUGUGGAGGGAUCGAUGGAUUGAUACAGUAUUUAUUUCCGCUUGAUAAUGACCAUCACCGUUUAUCAAGUACAAAGAGUGAAUAUUAGUUCCUUCUGCUAGACUUUCUACUUUACAGAAAUUGUUGUUACACGAUAGACACGAUACCAAGAGGCAUUUCAAAUUAUUAUAAAGCACUUUCAUGUAUUGAAUCUUUACUUAAGUCCGAAUUGUGUACAUUUAUUAUUGAUGCAUGUAAAUUGUAUAACGGUAUCAUCAGUGGAGAAUUGCACAAUUACUACCACCACCGAAUACGAACACGUAACACGUACACCAUACGCAAAUGUUACCAUACACUUUUCAAACACAUCACAAAGACAGAUGCUGUGUCUGGUUGGUUGUUAUACGCGUCGUUUUAUUAUGUAACAAGACAGUUCAAUGUAACACUUAGAAUAACGGAUGAUGUUCUAUCAAGAUGGUCACCUUAUAUGAUGCUCAUAGACUCUAGAGUCAACAGUGACAUACGGAAAAAUAUUUACAGACAUAACGUAAAUUCUUCAAUGUCAUUUAAUUAAAGGCUGAUAAUAGCCACUGCACAACAUGUCCACUGCUAAAAGCACUCAACAUGAGUACCACAAGAACUACGGCUGGAAGUAGAAUGCGAAGGGAUGAACAUACUACCAAAUGUUAUUACUCACUGUCUUAGAUUUCUAUGUAAUCAUCAUCUUAGUGGUAUAUCCAACAGACGAUAUGCAUAACGUGAUUUAUAUAUGCCAGUGAAAGAAAAUGCUUUUCGAAAAAUAAAUACAGAAUCUAAUGCAUUAACAAUAGUUGCAGUAUGUUUUGAUAUAUCCGGUGAUAAAGACACGUCAUGUCAGUGUUAUGAUGAAGCUUUGCAAUAUGAUAUCUAUGUAUGUCCUUCAGCAGAAGCGAGGAGAUCAAAACUUUUUGAGAUUUAACAUCAACAUAUACAUGUUAAAUCAUAAACAGUGAAUGGAGUAUGCUAUGUUGUAUUAUCAAAAGAUUGAGAUACAUUCUAUCAAAGUUACCAAAGGAGGUGUCUUAACUUGUUUCAUUAAAUUAGUAAACUCUUA